UGCUGUAGCCCAGCAAGUAAAGCUUCAGACUCAUAAUCAAAGGGACACAGGUUUAAUACCUGUCAGGGCAA
Molecule: non-coding RNA, 71 nt
Organism: Potamilus streckersoni
Lineage: Eukaryota; Metazoa; Mollusca; Bivalvia; Unionida; Unionidae
Source: the annotation of a GenBank genome assembly